This 23-nucleotide microRNA is filed under the name Caenorhabditis elegans. Its description in RNAcentral is "cel-miR-58b-3p". Its record names the gene cel-miR-58b-3p. Lineage: Eukaryota; Metazoa; Nematoda; Chromadorea; Rhabditida; Rhabditidae. The record is from miRBase by way of RNAcentral.
AGAGAUCAACCAUUGAGAUCCAA